RNAcentral lists this unclassified non-coding RNA (277 nucleotides) under air metagenome. RNAcentral's name for it is "partial contains small subunit ribosomal RNA, internal transcribed spacer 1, and 5.8S ribosomal RNA". The stretch from base 1 to 46 matches the Rfam family "Eukaryotic small subunit ribosomal RNA", at positions 1786 to 1831 of the family's 1831-position model. The record is from RNAcentral.
AAGUCGUAACAAGGUUUCCGUAGGUGAACCUGCGGAAGGAUCAUUAAUGAAUUAAAAUUAAAAAGGUUGUUGCUGCUGGUCUCUCUUCGGGGAGGCACCGUGCACGCUCCUUUUUAUAUUCAUCCACCCCAAUCGUGCACUUACCGUAGGCCGGAGAAUUCUUUGGCCUAUGUAAUUUUAAACACACACCGUAAAAUAAAAUGAACGUAUACUUUUACCCUUUGCGGUAAAUAAAAAAAAAUUAAUACAACUUUCAACAACGGAUCUCUUGGCUCUC